Molecule: long non-coding RNA, 254 nt
Filed under: Elaeis guineensis (African oil palm)
Lineage: Eukaryota; Viridiplantae; Streptophyta; Magnoliopsida; Arecales; Arecaceae
Description: long non-coding RNA (EGUI_LNC002690)
Source: RNAcentral
CAUAUAUAAAUGCUUGAAGUGGUGAGUUUAAUCCAUUAUCACAUGAAGAUUAUUGGAUGCAUGCACGUAUGUUCAAAUGUAUUUCUGAUCAUCAUCGUUUAAGAUCUAAGCAGAAACGCAGACCAAAGUCAACAAGACUGCGAAAUGAGAUGGAUGAUAGGUAAAUAAGAAAUAAGAAUCACUGUGGUAUUUGUAAGGAAUAGGGUCAUGAUCGCCGUCGCUGUUCUAGGAUACUUCAACAUACUUCAACUUCA